RNAcentral lists this ribosomal RNA (462 nucleotides) under uncultured bacterium. Its description in RNAcentral is "partial 16S ribosomal RNA". It matches the Rfam family "Bacterial small subunit ribosomal RNA", at positions 28 to 507 of the family's 1533-position model. The record is from RNAcentral.
GACGAACGCUGGCGGCGUGCUUAACACAUGCAAGUCGAACGGGAAGGCCCUUCGGGGUACUCGAGUGGCGAACGGGUGAGUAACACGUGGGUGAUCUGCCCUGCACUUUGGGAUAAGCCUGGGAAACUGGGUCUAAUACCGAAUAGGACCACGCGCUUCAUGGUGUGUGGUGGAAAGCUUUUGCGGUGUGGGAUGGGCCCGCGGCCUAUCAGCUUGUUGGUGGGGGAAUGGCCUACCAAGGCGACGACGGGUAGCCGGCCUGAGAGGGUGACCGGCCACACUGGGACUGAGGUACGGCCCAGACUCCUACGGGAGGCAGCAGGGGGGAAUAUUGCACAAUGGGCGCAAGCCUGAUGCAGCGACGCCGCGUGAGGGAUGACGGCCUUCGGGUUGUAAACCUCUUUCAAUAGGGACGAAGCGCAAGUGACGGUACCUAUAGAAGAAGCACCGGCCAACUACGUG